AUGAAAUUUGUAGCUAAUCAAAUUAAGAAUAACGAAUCCAAAGGGCUCCAUAGGGAAUACCACCUCUAUUUUGUACCACGCCGUAUAGUUGCCUGUGAGAAGAUUCUGGAGGAAGAGAAAGUUCAUCAAAAGUUGACAAUCGGAGAAUAUCCCUUGUAUCUAGUUCCUUUGGACGAGGAUGUCCUUUCUUUGGAGCUUGACUAUUCCUUGCAGGAAUGCCUUAUUGAAGGAUAUACAAGUUCUGUCUGGCAUGUUGCAAAAGCUAUCCAUAAGUUAGAGUUUGCUUUCGGGGUUAUCCCCAAUAUUAGAGCCAAGGGUGUAGCAUCAACCAAAGCUGCAGAAUUGCUGAACCAUAUGCAACUUGAAGACCCAGUCAGCAUGGAUAAUAUGGGGAUUCCAGAGAUAGACACCGUUAUUUUGCUAGACAGAGAGGUGGAUAUGGUGACACCAAUGUGCUCUCAGCUAACGUAUGAAGGUCUAUUAGAUGAGAUGUUGGAAAUUCAUAAUGGAUCUGUGGAAGUUGAUGCCAGCAUUAUGGGUGCUCAACAAGAUGGAAAAAAGGUCAAGGUUCCACUCAAUUCAAGACUCGAUGAUGGAGAUCAUGAUGAUGGAGAUCAUGGUGUCAUGCCGGUGACGAUGAUGAUCAUGGAGCCUCGAAGAUGGAGAUCAAAAGGAGCAAAAUGA
This 684-nucleotide ribosomal RNA is filed under the name Triticum aestivum (bread wheat). RNAcentral describes it as "partial small subunit ribosomal RNA". Lineage: Eukaryota; Viridiplantae; Streptophyta; Magnoliopsida; Poales; Poaceae. The record is from RNAcentral.